AGGGCACCACCAGGAGUGGAGCCUGCGGCUUAAUUUGACUCAACACGGGAAAACUCACCCGGCCCGGACACUGGAAGGAUUGACAGAUUGAGAGCUCUUUCUUGAUUCAGUGGGUGGUGGUGCAUGGCCGUUCUUAGUUGGUGGAGCGAUUUGUCUGGUUAAUUCCGAUAACGAACGAGACUCUAGCCUACUAAAUAGAUCGUCGGCUUACAAACGCCGGCGAGACUUCUUAGAGGGACAGGCGGUGAUUCAACCGCACGAAACAGAGCAAUAACAGGUCUGUGAUGCCCUUAGAUGUCCGGGGCCGCACGCGCGCUACACUGAAGUGAUCAGCGUGCAUUAAUAACCCUCUCUGUCAAGAGUGGGUAACCCAUUGAACCUUCUUCGUGAUUGGGAUAGGGUAUUGUAAUUCUUACCCUUGAACGAGGAAUUCCCAGUAAGCGCGAGUCAUAAGCUUGCGUUGAUUACGUCCCUGCCCUUUGUACACACCGCCCGUCGCUACUACCGAUUGAAUGAUUU
This 519-nucleotide ribosomal RNA is filed under the name uncultured eukaryote. RNAcentral describes it as "SSU rRNA". It matches the Rfam family "Eukaryotic small subunit ribosomal RNA", at positions 1161 to 1699 of the family's 1831-position model. The record is from RNAcentral.